RNAcentral lists this ribosomal RNA (232 nucleotides) under uncultured bacterium. RNAcentral describes it as "partial 16S ribosomal RNA". It matches the Rfam family "Bacterial small subunit ribosomal RNA", at positions 118 to 348 of the family's 1533-position model. The record is from RNAcentral.
UGAGGAAUCUGUCCAUCGGCGGGGGAUAGCCGGCCCAACGGCCGGGUAAUACCGCGUACGACCACUUUGGGACAUCCCUCGGUGGUGAAAGCAGCAAUGCGCCGAUGGAGUGCCUCGCGGCCUAUCAGCUAGUUGGUGAGGUAACGGCUCACCAAGGCGACGACGGGUAGCUGGUCUGAGAGGAUGGCCAGCCACAUUGGGACUGAGACACGGCCCAGACUCCGUAGGGAGG